UUUUUUAUAAAAAUAAUUUAUUUAUUUAUGGUUUUAGUAUUAAUUAAAAAUUAAUUUAUAGAUUUAUAGUUUAAUAGUAUUGUGAAAGAAAUUAUUAAAUUUAAAAAAGAAUUUUAUUAGUACCUUUUGUAUCAGGGUUGAUUAAAAUUUCUAAUUUUUUUUUAAUUUCUCAAAAUUUAUAGAGUUAAUUUUAUUAUUAAUUUAUUGUGUUAUAAAUAUUUAAAAAAUAAUAUUAGUUUUGAAAUUUAAUUCGUUAUAUUAUAUUUAGUUAUUUAAGAUUUAAAUUUAAUUUAAAAUUUUAAAAGUUAUAUUAAUUUUAUUGAUUAAUAUUUUAAAUUUAAAUUAUUUUAGGGAUAAGCUUGAAAUUUUUAUAUAAUGAUUUAUUUAUUUUAAUAAUUUAUAGGAAUAGAAAUUUUUAUUUUAAGUUUGUAAAAAUUUAUUAUUUGUUUAAUUUUAAUUUAUUAUAUUUAUAUUUAUUUUUUUUAUUAAAUUUUAUUAAUUAAUAUUUAAUUAAUAGUAAUAAUGAUUAAAUUAGUAUAAUUUGUAUAUUUAUAAAUUAUGAAUUCGGCAAAAAUUAUUUUCAUCUGUUUAACAAAAACAUUGUAUUAAGUUUAAUUUAAUAUAGGAUCUGCUCAAUGAUUUAUUAAAUAGCUGCAGUAUUUUGACUGUGCAAAGGUAGCAUAAUAAUUAGUCUUUUAAUUGAGGACUUGAAUGAAAGAUUUGAUGAAAAAUAGACUUUAUUAUUUAUAAAAUUAAAAUUUUAUUUUUAAGUAAAAAAGCUUAAAUUAUUUAAAGGGACGAUAAGACCCUAUAAAACUUUAUAAAUUUAGAUUUUGAUUUUUUUGGAUUUAUAAAUAUUUUAUUAUUAAAAUUUAUUUUAUUGGGGUGAUAAAAAAAAUUUUUAAACCUUUUUUAAAGUUUUACAUUAUUUAAUGAAUUUUUGAAUUAAAAUUUUUAAUUAAAGGGAAAAGUUACCUUAGGGAUAACAGCGUAAUUAAUUUAUUAAGUUCAAAUUUAAAGAUUAGUUUGCGACCUCGAUGUUGAAUUAAGAUUAAUUUUAGGUGCAAAAUUUUAAAUAUUAGGUCUGUUCGACCUUUAAA
Molecule: ribosomal RNA, 1100 nt
Filed under: Aphis neospiraeae
Lineage: Eukaryota; Metazoa; Arthropoda; Insecta; Hemiptera; Aphididae
Description: partial 16S large subunit ribosomal RNA
Source: RNAcentral